RNAcentral lists this ribosomal RNA (289 nucleotides) under Campylobacter jejuni. RNAcentral's name for it is "partial 23S ribosomal RNA". It matches the Rfam family "Bacterial large subunit ribosomal RNA", at positions 2634 to 2925 of the family's 2925-position model. The record is from RNAcentral. Lineage: Bacteria; Pseudomonadati; Campylobacterota; Epsilonproteobacteria; Campylobacterales; Campylobacteraceae.
GUCCCUAUCUGCCGUGGGCGUAAGAAGAUUGAAGAGAUUUGACCCUAGUACGAGAGGACCGGGUUGAACAAACCACUGGUGUAGCUGUUGUUCUGCCAAGAGCAUCGCAGCGUAGCUAAGUUUGGAAAGGAUAAACGCUGAAAGCAUCUAAGCGUGAAGCCAACUCUAAGAUGAAUCUUCUCUAAGCUCUCUAGAAGACUACUAGUUUGAUAGGCUGGGUGUGUAAUGGAUGAAAGUCCUUUAGCUGACCAGUACUAAUAGAGCGUUUGGCUUAUCUUUAAUAAAGCAU